ACAUGCAAGUCGAGGGGCAGCAUGUUGGUUGCUUGCAACCAACGAUGGCGACCGGCGCACGGGUGAGUAACGCGUAUCCAACCUACCCUUGUCCAUCGGAUAACCCGUCGAAAGGCGGCCUAACACGAUAUGCGGUUCACAGCAGGCAUCUAACGUGAACGAAAUGUAAAGGAGAAGGAUGGGGAUGCGUCUGAUUAGCUUGUUGGCGGGGUAACGGCCCACCAAGGCUACGAUCAGUAGGGGUUCUGAGAGGAAGGUCCCCCACAUUGGAACUGAGACACGGUCCAAACUCCUACGGGAGGCAGCAGUGAGGAAUAUUGGUCAAUGGACGAGAGUCUGAACCAGCCAAGUAGCGUGCAGGAUGACGGCCCUAUGGGUUGUAAACUGCUUUUAUAGGGGGAUAAAGUGUGCCACGUGUGGCAUAUUGCAGGUACCCUAUGAAUAAGGACCGGCUAAUUCCGUGCCAGCAGCCGCGGUAAUACGGAAGGUCCGGGCGUUAUCCGGAUUUAUUGGGUUUAAAGGGAGCGUAGGCCGUUUGGUAA
This 542-nucleotide ribosomal RNA is filed under the name uncultured bacterium. RNAcentral describes it as "bacterial SSU rRNA". It matches the Rfam family "Bacterial small subunit ribosomal RNA", at positions 53 to 586 of the family's 1533-position model. The record is from RNAcentral.